CACCGCCGCACCUGCGGGCUCUCGCCCCGGCGUCUGCGGGACCCGAGGGCUCUGAGCGCGCUGCCGCCCUCCCGCGCCGCCCUCGCACACGCAGAUCCCACUUUUAAAGAAUCCGAAGCGGUGCAGCCCAUCGACACCGAGCGCAGCCGGUUGUGCUUGUUCUCUCCCCGUCUGCAGUUGAGCCCGGACCCUGGAAUAGAAAGACAGUUCUCCGUUGGACUGGCAGAAAGGGAAGGCAGACUCCUCGGUUCCCGAGGAGAGCGGAGCGGCUGCUCUAGUGAAGAAAUGAAGAAUCAAAGAAGUAAAGGAUCUAUUUCAAAAUCACAUAACUAAAUUAUCACCUGGAAGAGAAAGCAGAUAUUUUAUAGAAGAAAGAACAAGGAAGAACAACAGAAAUUCCUAAGCAAAGGAGAAUUCUAGAGAGAGAACUUAUUUCAAGUAUUUUAUGAGGGCAGUCUUGAGGAGUUUUGAACUUUUCAUCCCCCAGUCACCACUCCCCUUCAGGGAAGGCUCUUCCUUGCUUGAAAUAAAAGACAAGCAGUUCCUGGCCUGUGAACCCUGAGUGAUGUGCCUGUCAGUAUGCUGGCGCCAGUGCUGAGGGACAUCAUGGGUUUUGGCUCCAGGUGAGUUGAGUAUAUUCAAUAUGGCCAUUUCACUAUGAUUCAAUAUUGCUUCUCUCCAUCAUUAUCCUACAGAAUUCAUACUGAAGUUUCACUGAUAGGAAAUUACUAUGUAUGUUUAUCUUAUUGAUUGUUAAAUAAAAUACUGUUUGGCCAAUGAGACAGCAAGUUAGACUGGACUAAGAGUCAAAGAGGAUUCUGGGAAAUGUAGUAGAGAAGUGGUGGUCCAGGCAGGAAGUGACAUAGCAAGGAGGUUCAUAUUUAAGCGAAGGAGAAAUUUUUCCUUCUUUCCCUUCGCCUCCUCCAGCGGCAGGAUGUGAUUCACCGGCAAGGGAGGAGGCCAAUAAGGCAUCCGAUAAGAUAAGUCUUAUAAAAUAUAUAGGAUUAUGAUAAUUAAGACUGAGCUAGCAGAUGAGAAUCCUAAACAUUGGCCAAGUAGCUUUGAGCCUAAUACAAGUUUCUGUGUAUUCAUUUGGGCCUAACUCGGGCGGGCAGCGUGCGUAAAGCUCACACGUGGCGGUGGGGCUCAGGCGGUUUUGGAAGAAAGAUUUAUAGUAACAUUUCACAAGCACAUAUUAAUAUUGAAACACUUUGUUUCUCAACCAGACCAGGGGAUAGCUCUGACUCUUUUGCCUGCAGUUGGGAACCUUUUUCUCCUACUGGGUUGCAAUGUCCAGUGCCAUGAUAUGAGGAUUUGUGCCCGGUAUUAUUGUAUCUUGUUAGGCCAUGUUCAGUGGUUAUCCCAGGGUGGCCUGUUAUUUCUUU
RNAcentral lists this long non-coding RNA (1385 nucleotides) under Cricetulus griseus (Chinese hamster). RNAcentral describes it as "lncRNA (ENSCGRG00015034309.1)". The record is from RNAcentral. Lineage: Eukaryota; Metazoa; Chordata; Mammalia; Rodentia; Cricetidae.